This 497-nucleotide ribosomal RNA is filed under the name uncultured bacterium. RNAcentral describes it as "partial 16S ribosomal RNA". It matches the Rfam family "Bacterial small subunit ribosomal RNA", at positions 28 to 507 of the family's 1533-position model. The record is from RNAcentral.
GAUGAACGCUGGCGGCGUGCCUAAUACAUGCAAGUCGAGCGAACAGACGAGGAGCUUGCUCCUCUGACGUUAGCGGCGGACGGGUGAGUAACACGUGGAUAACCUACCUAUAAGACUGGGAUAACUUCGGGAAACCGGAUCUAAUACCGGAUCAUAUAUUGAACCGCAUGGUUCAAUAGUGAAAGACGGUUUUGCUGUCCCUUAUAGAUGGAUCCGCGCCGCAUUAGCUAGUUGGUAAGGUAACGGCUUACCAAGGCAACGAUGCGUAGCCGACCUGAGAGGGUGAUCGGCCACACUGGAACUGAGACACGGUCCAGACUCCUACGGGAGGCAGCAGUAGGGAAUCUUCGGCAAUGGGCGAAAGCCUGACGGAGCAACGCCGCGUGAGUGAUGAAGGUCUUCGGAUCGUAAAGCUCUGUUAUUAGGGAAGAACAAAUGUGUAAGUAACUAUGCACGUCUUGACGGUACCUAAUCAGAAAGCCACGGCUAACUACGUG